RNAcentral lists this transfer RNA (84 nucleotides) under Johnsonella ignava. RNAcentral describes it as "tRNA-Leu(aag)". It matches the Rfam family "tRNA". From Rfam's summary of the family: Transfer RNA (tRNA) molecules are approximately 80 nucleotides in length. RNAcentral also lists the same sequence under 2 other names. Lineage: Bacteria; Bacillati; Bacillota; Clostridia; Lachnospirales; Lachnospiraceae. The record is from RNAcentral.
GCGGGGAUGCUGGAACUGGCAGACAGGCUAGACUAAGGAUCUAGUGAUCAUUAGAUCGUGAGGGUUCAAGUCCCUUUCCCCGCA